Populus trichocarpa (black cottonwood) is the source of this 100-nucleotide non-coding RNA. Lineage: Eukaryota; Viridiplantae; Streptophyta; Magnoliopsida; Malpighiales; Salicaceae. The record is from Rfam.
UAAUUUAUCUGAGAUGAAUUCUUAUUUAGUAAUGAGAAACACAUAUUUAACUAUUCAAAAUCAUUCGUACGACUCAACAUCACUAAUUUAGGGCUUGUGU